Molecule: long non-coding RNA, 5326 nt
Organism: Felis catus (domestic cat)
Lineage: Eukaryota; Metazoa; Chordata; Mammalia; Carnivora; Felidae
Exons: 4
Source: RefSeq, a predicted model, not a curated record
GACGGCAUUAAAGGGCGACGCCGGGGAGGAAGCGAGGUGGCGGUGGCGGUGGCUUGUAGGCCUGCGUGUGCUGUCCGGCGGCGGUCUGGCACCCGCGCCCGCCUCCAGGCUCCGCUGCUGGACCAGACGGCGGGGGUGGCGCGCUGAGCCCGGCGCAGAAGGAUACGCCCAGGGUUUCAGAGUCGAUGGAGUGUAUUCAGCUGUUAUAUUAUUUAUGACUCUCCGGAUGUCGACGAAAUGAUUGACAACACAUGAUGAUUACAGAGCCUCCACUGCUGUGUCCGUGAGCAGACUCUUGGAAAAGCCUGCAUUCGUGCAACAAUGAAUGAGCGAUGAGCUACCUGGUGGACCGGCCCGGACUCUCAUCCUAGAAGCUUUAGAACCUCGGUCAACACACCCUUCUCAGGUCACGGCUGCUGUGCUUGUCCACAUACCAUCAAAACUGGGCAGAGAGGCAGGCUCAGGGUUGGGAUGAACAUUACAUUCCAGAAACUUCGAUGGGAGCAGGUGCACAGGGAGGAAGAGCAAUCCAAGGGGCAGGGACUGUGCCCACCAGAGAGCACAGAGAUGCACCAACACAGACGUGAAACACACUCCUGUCGUGCUCGGUGCUCCGCGGGGCUCCUGAACAGUUAUCCGUUCUUGACGGCCCAGGUGCUCAGUGAACUGAACAAAAAUGAAUCCGCCCAGCUCUGAGACAAGGGGCAGGGGGCGCCGUGGGGUCUGCACCCGCCACCGCUUGCCAUCCUCCUACUUCCGGGAUGGCCUGCAGAUGUGGCUGGUUCUUCCAAAGGAGGAGAGUGGCUGCUCAGCCAGAUCCCCUGGGACGUGGCGGGGGGACGAGGGUGAGCCCUUCGAGGGAAGUUAGGCUCCCUGGUAUAUCAUAUCUGAAGGCAGCACCUGCCGCAGGGGCCGAGCCCAGGACAGAGCUGCUGUGAAGGGACCCCGUGGCACCGUCCAAGGGACGUCUGCCGUGCCUCAGCCCCUCCAUCGCUGAGUGUCCCGGGCAUGGAGCAGGCAGAGCAGAGGCGAGACCUCAGGGGACAGCCUUGGGCAGCAACCGGGAGGACCUCAGUGCAGGAACUCCCCUGUCCCCCUCCUACAGCACACUCAGUGCCUCCGGGCUGCCUCCGACCUCCCACGCCCCGCCCCCUUCGCCCCUUCAGCCCGGGUGUCCCAGCCCACCCGGACCUUCUCGACUGGGAACCUCCCGGACACUAGGGAGCAGGGAGCCUCUGCAAGGCGGCGAAUCCCUUCGCUGCACCAUCUACCAGCCGUCUCUAGAUGGCGCAGAGUGGAGGAAAGACUUGGGCCACCCUCCAGCCAGGAAUGAGCAGAGGCCAGAAUUGAGGAAUGCGUAAGGCUCGCUUGGAGAGGUGCCUGGUCAAGAGGAACACAUCCGCAUUUGAAACGAGAUGCCUGGACAGAGUCCCAGGAGUCCUGUGGGAGCCAGGCCCAGGGACACCUGAGCCCAAACCCUCAGCCCGCUCUGUGCCCCUGGCACAGGGACAGCCAGGGAGCCCAAGACGGGGGGCCGCCACCCCCCAGCCUUAAACGUCAAGCAGUGUGCAGAGGGUUCUGACGGGCAGGGGCAGAAGCCCAGGCCAGCCAAGCAGGCACAGGGCGGGGUCUCUGGUGGUCCACAAUGCACCCUCCCACCCAACGGGCUGGUAACACCCCCGGGGCCCCGAUGCCCCCGAGAUGCCUCCUCUGCAUCCCCCUAGAGCAGGCUGCGUCUGUGACCAGUCCCCAUCCCUCUGGCUAUGGGGUCCCUGGUGGGCGAGAACCUCCCACUCCACCUGACCUGGCCGUCUCUGGGCCAACUGGUCAGUGGCAAUAGGCCGGGCAUUCAGGACGUGCUUGUCAAGUGAACCGGGUAGAAGUGACCAGAAGAAAAUGGAGAUGCCGAGAACUAGGCCCACCCUGUCCCGGCCCCACAGGCCUGAAACCCUUCCCCCUUUCCUGGACCUCUACCCCAGCUCCAUGGUCCAGGGGCAAUGGCUGUGGGGCCGGGAGAGCUCCUCCUCCCCAGCUGCACCGCAUCGUUUAUAGAUAUCGGUGACCAGUCUAAGAGAAGCGUCUCCGCUCGGGAAGGUCUGAGGCCCAAACAGGUUAUUCCUGGUUCAGGAUGUACCUUGGUAGGAUACAGAGGGAAGGGAGGUGGAGAAAGUGGCCGGAGCCUCACCUCGCCCAUCUGUAAAAUGGGUCCAUAAUCCCAUCCUGCAUGCCUCACCGGCUUCUUGUAAAGAUCGAGGGAGAAAGGAAAGAGCUAGACAGAAGAGGUGGGGAGGCGGGGAGAGAGGGCAAGAAGAAGGAAGGAGGGAGACUGAAGGGCACCUUCUGUCCUUUCAAGCCUCGGAGAAGCUGCUGGUGCAUGGCUGGUGCCUGGUGGAGGGCUGCCCUCAUAAGCUCUCAGCCCAGGGUUCGGUUCUGGGAGCUGUCAGAAUGGGGCUGUGGCCCCGCGUCACGGGGGGGGGGGGGGGGGCUCUUGGGCUCUCUGGCUCCCGGCCGAGCACAUGCCUUCCCCUCCCUGCCUGCUUGUUUCCUGCUUUCCUCGGUCAUCCUGUCAACCACUGACCCCAGAGGCUCCUCCUGGGCUGCCCGCCUCAGCCACACCUGGAGUCUGACAGUCCUGCCUGAGGCACAGCAGAGGCUGCAGGGAGCUGAGAGUCAGGCUCGAGUCAUCACAUCCACAGGUGGCCCAGGGGGAGGGACAAGGGGUCCGGGGGUGUCAGGGACUGAAGGGUUCAGGGAAAUUGGAAGGAGGGCCUGGACAGUGUCUGAGCUAGCCAGGACGGCCGUGCCGGGCUCCCGGCCCUGCCCCCUCCUGCAGCCCCAGCACCAUGCCGGCUGCCCGGGGCCCACAGCCUGCGAGGCUCGUCUCCCCUCCUUUCCUGAGCAUCCCCCUUGAGUCACGGGCCUGGCAUCACUCACUGAAACCCGGCAGCGACUCCAGGUGCAGCCAGAGAGCUGGCUGGGGUCAGGCGGCCCCCGCCCCGUGCGACACGGGCACAGCCAGACUCUCUCUGGCCCUCACCUUCCACAACUGUGAAAUGGGGGUGUAAUCACUCUUCCAUGCACCUCUUCUAAAGAUCGGACUCCUCCCAGCUCUCAACUACAACACACAACGCAGACCUACUUUUCCUGUUGAGAUUCCUGCCCCUGCUGUUGGCGGGACAGGCAGACCCUGACUCGGAGGCUGUUUGCGGCCGGUGGUGCUGGUGGGGAUGGGUGGGGCAGCCCGGCAGAGGAGCAUCCUUUAAAUGUCUGCCCGUGGAUCUGGAUUCACGCUAUGACUCAUGGUCAUGCUGGCUUCAGGCCAUUUCCUUGUUGGAAGAAGAGCCUAAUGAAAGGGUGAAUUCUUUCCUGCAGGAGUUUAAGCAGCCGACAAAGCAGGCUCUGUGUACCUGGAGACUUUGCCCUUCCUGCUUACGGCUUCCAGGGAAGUCACAAACCGUGCAGAGAGAGCGGCAGGCUGGGAGUCUUGGGGUGUCAGAGCCGGCUGGCGUCUCAGACCCGUCUCUUCUGCGCCCCGAUUUUGCAGACGGGCAAGCUGAGGCUCAGAAACGAGCUAUGUAUUUAAGGCCGAGUUGGGUUGGGCCUGGCAUCCCUGAUCCCCCAGCUGGUGUGGGUUUACUGGCCCCUCCGCUGUUGAGAGCAAGCAACCCCCCAAAGGGGAGGAAGAACCAAGGGGAGAGAGGUGCAGUCGCCGCAGAAGAAGGAAGGAGGGUACAAAUGCAGGGGUUUCUCUCUCAGGCUCCCACCCCUGGUUCUUGGGUACUGCAGGGGCUAAAGGGGCAGAAAACCAGAGGGACAAUCCCAAGGAACACCACUCUACUUCCUGACCUCCCCAAGCAGUUGUCCACAGGGAGGCCCAGCUAUCGGGGCCCUGACCGCUGAGACCCAUGCUUCCCUUUGAACGUGGGGGAGCCUUUGGGAGAGAAAAGCACAUCCAAGGCCCCCGUGUCGGCGGGAAAGACCCUGAGAGUCUCUCUGGCCCCCAUGUGUACUUUGAAGGGAAGUGGGGCCCAGCAAGGCAAGGGGAACGGCCCAAGGUCGCCUGGUUGGCCACCGGAGCGGCCUGGGGCCAGAAGAUGUCCCUCAGCACCCAGCCAGGGCUCCCCCCACACCAGCUGCCUGUGUGUCCGAGAGGCUAGAGUUCUGGCCCAGAGAGACAGGCUGGCUCUCAGCAGCAGCAGCAACACGGAGCCAGGCUCUCCGCCAGGCCCCGUGCAGGCAGCUACACGCCAGCUGGCCUCUGGGGCUGGGCGGUGACCAGGCGGCCCCCAGGCCCGGGUACAGAGCAGGUUCGGGGCCUGGCUCCGGGCGAGGCAGAGGCGGGACCCCACUGUGCCUCGCCCAGCGGCCUGAGGACCGCCUACCUCCAGAUCAGCUGGGGAGAGCGGGGAUGUGCAGGCCCUCAUCCCGCCCCCCACCCCAGCGAAUCAGGGUCUCUGGGGGUCGUGCCUCCCCUGCUCCACGCACCCUCAACCUUGGCCUGUGGACAAGCAGGAGGCAAAAUUGGGUGUGUCCCCAGGGGCGGGGCGCCCUCAGCACCCCACCUACCAGGGCAAGAACGUUGCGUGUGGAAUUUUCCAUGACCCACAAACGUGCGGGGAGGCUGUGGCAGACUUGCUGGCCCGCGGCUCACGUGCAGCCGCUAAUUGGCGCUGCCUGUUCUAUUUCUGCUCCAGACCCUAAUGAGGUCACCCAGCCAGCACCACCCGAGAUGAACCCAGCUGGACGGCUUGGGGCCCAGGGGCCCAGCGGCCCAGCUGCAUGCCUGGGGGAGGCUACGAAACCUGGAUCAGGGCAGCCUGGGACGAACGCCCACUCGAAAUGGAAAGAUUCACCAGGGUGCGGGGGUGGGGAACGUCGCAGGCAGGCCCGGGGAGCCGCUCACCCAGGACAGGCUGCGCGACCUUGGGGGCCCGCCUGGUGGGGCGCCUUCCUGGCCGGGUGGGUUGUUGGCUGGUCUGAAGGGGGGAGGGCCAGAGGGGCUCCGGAAGUCACAGAAGCCCUUGGAGUAUCAGCUGCAGACCCUGGCUGGGCCCCCCACUCGACCUGCACAGCCAGGCGGGGACCCCAGGGCUCCUCCCUGCCAUCCACCACACCAGUGGCAGAAAAACACGGCUGAAAACGCUCACGUGAGCACCAUUUAAAGUAUGCAAUUCAGGGCCGCCUGGCAGCCCUUUAUCUCCAGGGCAUGCGUUCGAGCCCUACGUUGGGUGUAGAGAUUACUUAAAUAAACUUAAUAAAAAUUAAAAAAAGUGUAGGGGCUCCUGGGUGGCUCAGAAGGUUAAGGAUCCGACUCUUAGUUUCAGCU